Molecule: ribosomal RNA, 434 nt
Filed under: uncultured bacterium
Lineage: Bacteria
Description: partial 16S ribosomal RNA
Rfam family: Bacterial small subunit ribosomal RNA
Source: RNAcentral
UGGGGAAUUUUGGACAAUGGGGGAAACCCUGAUCCAGCCAUCCCGCGUGUGCGAUGAAGGCCUUCGGUUGUAAACACUUUUGGCAAGGAAAGAAACGUCGCGGGUUAAUACCCCCGCGGAACUGACGGUACCUGCAGAAUAAGCACCGGCUAACUACGUGCCAGCAGCCGCGGUAAUACGUAGGGUGCAAGCGUUAAUCGGAAUUACUGGGCGUAAAGCGUGCGCAGGCGGUUCGGAAAGAAAGAUGUGAAAUCCCAGAGCUUAACUUUGGAACUGCAUUUUUUAACUACCGGGCUAGAGUGUGUCAGAGGGAGGUGGAAUUCCGCGUGUAGCAGUGAAAUGCGUAGAUAUGCGGAGGAACACCGAUGGCGAAGGCAGCCUCCUGGGAUAACACUGACGCUCAUGCACGAAAGCGUGGGGAGCAAACAGGAUUA